AUUGAACGCUGGCGGCAUGCUUUACACAUGCAAGUCGAACGGUAACAGGCCUUCGGGCGCUGACGAGUGGCGAACGGGUGAGUAAUGCAUCGGAACGUGCCCAGUCGUGGGGGAUAACGCAGCGAAAGCUGUGCUAAUACCGCAUACGAUCUGCGGAUGAAAGCGGGGGACCUUAGGGCCUCGCGCGAUUGGAGCGGCCGAUGUCAGAUUAGGUAGUUGAUGGGGUAAAGGCCCACCAAGCCAACGAUCUGUAGCUGGUCUGAGAGGACGACCAGCCACACUGGAACUGAGACACGGUCCAGACUCCUACGGGAGGCAGCAGUGGGGAAUUUUGGACAAUGGACGCAAGUCUGAUCCAGCCAUUCCGCGUGCAGGAUGAAGGCCCUCGGGUUGUAAACUGCUUUUGUACGGAACGAAAAGGUUUCUAUUAAUACUAGGAGCUCAUGACGGUACCGUAAGAAUAAGCACCGGCUAACUAACGUGCCAGCAG
This 490-nucleotide ribosomal RNA is filed under the name uncultured bacterium. RNAcentral describes it as "bacterial SSU rRNA". It matches the Rfam family "Bacterial small subunit ribosomal RNA", at positions 30 to 514 of the family's 1533-position model. The record is from RNAcentral.